GAUGAAGAACGCAGCGAAAUGCGAAAAGUAAUGUGAAUUGCAGAAUUCAGUGAACCAUCGAAUCUUUGAACGCACAUUGCGCCCGCUGGAACUCCGGCGGGCACGCCUGUCCGAGCGUCAUUUCAACCCUCAGGCCCCCCUUCGCGGGCGGGCCUGGUGUUGGGGCCCGGCCGCCACCCUGCGGCCGUCCCCUAAAUUCAGUGGCGGCCUCGCCGUGAUCCCUUGCGUAGUAAUGCACCUCGCACCGGAGAGCGCCGUGGCCACGCCGUAAAACCCCCAAUUUUCAAUGGUUGACCUCGGAUCAGGUGGGAAUACCCGCUGAACUUAAGCAUAUCAAUAAGCGGAGGA
This 348-nucleotide unclassified non-coding RNA is filed under the name soil metagenome. RNAcentral's name for it is "partial contains 5.8S ribosomal RNA, internal transcribed spacer 2, and large subunit ribosomal RNA". The stretch from base 1 to 120 matches the Rfam family "5.8S ribosomal RNA", at positions 35 to 154 of the family's 154-position model. The record is from RNAcentral.